RNAcentral lists this transfer RNA (74 nucleotides) under Sympetrum vicinum (autumn meadowhawk). RNAcentral describes it as "tRNA valine". Lineage: Eukaryota; Metazoa; Arthropoda; Insecta; Odonata; Libellulidae. The record is from RNAcentral.
AGUAAGUAGACAAAUUAGAGCUUGAUAGUAAGCAUUUCAUUUACACUGAAAAUUUAAUUGUGCAAUUCAAUUUA